GAGUUUGAUCGUGGCUCAGAUUGAACGCUGGCGGCAGGCCUAACACAUGCAAGUCGAGCGGAUGACGGGAGCUUGCUCCUUGAUUCAGCGGCGGACGGGUGUGUAAUGCCUAGGAAUCUGCCUGGUAGUGGGGGACAACGUUUCGAAAGGAACGCUAAUACCGCAUACGUCCUACGGGAGAAAGCAGGGGACCUUCGGGCCUUGCGCUAUCAGAUGAGCCUAGGUCGGAUUAGCUAGUUGGUGGGGUAAUGGCUCACCAAGGCGACGAUCCGUAACUGGUCUGAGAGGAUGAUCAGUCACACUGGAACUGAGACACGGUCCAGACUCCUACGGGAGGCAGCAGUGGGGAAUAUUGGACAAUGGGCGAAAGCCUGAUCCAGCCAUGCCGCGUGUGUGAGAAGGUCUUCGGGAUUGUAAAGCACUUUAAGUUGGGAGGAAGGGCAGUAAGUUAAUACCUUGCUGUUUUGACGUUACCGACAGAAUAAGCACCGGCUAACUCUGUGCCAGCAGCCG
Molecule: ribosomal RNA, 513 nt
Filed under: bacterium enrichment culture clone ALO1_GLFRUDD03HFXJ8
Lineage: Bacteria
Description: bacterial SSU rRNA
Rfam family: Bacterial small subunit ribosomal RNA
Source: RNAcentral